AAGUAACACGAUAUCAGCAGUUUUUGUUUACAAAGAAAGGAAAUUUGACGAUUCGAUUUCUCAUCCAUGACCGCUGAAAAGUAACCUUUGAAGUUAACUUUCUUCAACGAUUUUUGGUUACUUGGUAGUUGGUACAGACAAAAUGGAGUUCUGGAGGCAAUUUGAUGGGGGCUGUUUGUUUCCCAAGGGAAAAGAAAUACCAUCAUACACAAAAAUUCUACAGAGAUUGUAAAGAGAUACUUUGCUAAAUGAAUACCUGCAGGUAGGCAUUUAAAGAACGCUUUGGUGUUGAUUGAUCAAGAGCUUUAAGAAGUUUUUCAAUUGGUUGAUUAGGCAUUUCUAACCUCUUUUGAAUGAAAUAAGCAAUUGCAUAACACAAAGCAGUGCACCCUCUCUGAAUAAUAAAAUAUUGCAAAUCUGCUUUGUGCUUUAGUAGAGUAGAAAUGCAUGCCUCUUGGUGUCUUGAGCAGGCCAUCAUUAAUGCUGUAACUCCUUUGCAAGUAACAGUAUUCAAAUUUACUCUUGAUGUCGAAGCAACAAGUUCUAGGGCCGUGUCCCAUUGCCUCUUGACCAUGUAAUGGAUGACAGUGUUACCUAGCUGAAAAAAAAAUCGAGGAUGUGAAAAUUUAACUGAAGAGAUUGAAAACCAGAAGAAUGAAUGCCUGUUGUAUUAUUUACUUUAUUUGCAUGGUUGACAUUGAUUUCUGUGUCUUUGAUUUUCAACCAGAAAUCCAUGAAGGUAUCUUGAUCCCAUGAUGAAGUUUGCAGGGCCAGUAGAAAAGCAUUGUUCCCUUCCCCAUCAGUCAUGUUAACGUUGGCUCCUCUUCGGAUCAGAAAAUCGGCCAUGUCAACCAGUUUCAGUUUUACUGCCCACAGCAUCGGACUUGUUCCAUCCUGCAAAUGUCACAUAUCAACAUCAAGUCAAUAUGAAGCGAUCAAUUUCAUUUACCUCUGCGCAUUUUUCCAAUGAAUAUCCUUCUCUCAAUAAUUUUUUGACGAUGUGAAACCUUCCGAGAACGACAGCUCCCAGAAACACAUUGGAAUCGUCCUGUUUGAGAACAAUUCAAAAUCAAAUUAAUUAAUAAAACAAUGUAAUCAUGUAAA
This is a long non-coding RNA of Cimex lectularius (bed bug), 1104 nucleotides long. RefSeq lists it as uncharacterized. The transcript has 4 exons. Lineage: Eukaryota; Metazoa; Arthropoda; Insecta; Hemiptera; Cimicidae. The record is from RefSeq and is a predicted model, not a curated record.